GAUGAACGCUGGCGGCGUGCCUAAUACAUGCAAGUCGAGCGAACAGACGAGGAGCUUGCUCCUCUGACGUUAGCGGCGGACGGGUGAGUAACACGUGGAUAACCUACCUAUAAGACUGGGAUAACUUCGGGAAACCGGAGCUAAUACCGGAUAAUAUAUUGAACCGCAUGGUUCAAUAGUGAAAGACGGUUUUGCUGUCACUUAUAGAUGGAUCCGCACCGCAUUAGCUAGUUGGUAAGGUAACGGCUUACCAAGGCAACGAUGCGUAGCCGACCUGAGGGGGGGAUCGGCCACACUGGAACUGAGACACGGUCCAGACUCCUACGGGAGGCAGCAGUAGGGAAUCUUCCGCAAAGGGCGAAAGCCUGACGGAGCAACGCCGCGUGAGUGAUGAAGGUCUUCGGAUCGUAAAACUCUGUUAUUAGGGAAGAACAAAUGUGUAAGUAACUAUGCACGUCUUGACGGUACCUAAUCAGAAAGCCACGGCUAACUACGUG
Molecule: ribosomal RNA, 497 nt
Filed under: uncultured bacterium
Lineage: Bacteria
Description: partial 16S ribosomal RNA
Rfam family: Bacterial small subunit ribosomal RNA
Source: RNAcentral